GCAAGUCGAGCGAUGAAGUUUUCUUCGGAAAACGGAUUAGCGGCGGACGGGUGAGUAACACGUGGGUAACCUGCCCUAUAGAGGGGGAUAGCCUUUCGAAAGAGAGAUUAAUACCCCAUAAGAUUGUAGUAUCGCAUGGUACAGCAAUCAAAGGAGUAAUCCGCUAUAGGAGGACCCGCGGCGCAUUAGCUAGUUGGUGAGGUAACGGCUCACCAAGGCGACGAUGCGUAGCCGACCUGAGAGGGUGAUCGGCCACAUUGGGACUGAGACACGGCCCAGACUCCUACGGGAGGCAGCAGUGGGGAAUAUUGCACAAUGGGGGAAACCCUGAUGCAGCAACGCCGCGUGAGUGAUGACGGUCUUCGGAUUGUAAAGCUCUGUCUUCAGGGACGAUAAUGACGGUACCUGAGGAGGAAGCCACGGCUAACUACGUGCCAGCAGCCGCGGUAAUACGUAGGUGGCAAGCGUUGUCCGGAUUUACUGGGCGUAAAGGAAGCGUAGGCGGAUUUUUAAGUGGGAUGUGAAAUACCCGGGCUCAACCUGGGUGCUGCAUUCCAAACUGGGAAUCUAGAGUACAGGAGGGGAGAGUGGAAUUCCUAGUGUAGCGGUGAAAUGCGUAGAGAUUGGGAAGAACACCAGUGGCGAAGGCGACUCUCUGGACUGUAACUGACGCUGAGGCUCGAAAGCGUGGGGAGCAAGCAGGAUUAGAUACCCUGGUAGUCCAC
This 725-nucleotide ribosomal RNA is filed under the name uncultured Clostridium sp. RNAcentral describes it as "bacterial SSU rRNA". It matches the Rfam family "Bacterial small subunit ribosomal RNA", at positions 57 to 798 of the family's 1533-position model. The record is from RNAcentral. Lineage: Bacteria; Bacillati; Bacillota; Clostridia; Eubacteriales; Clostridiaceae.